UUUGAUCUGCAUAGCACAUCCAGGAAUAACCAAUUUCUUCCUUAAUCAUGUGAGUGCCCAGGACAAAACAAUCUUCUAGUUCAUUGGUGAGCAACCCUUCUGAAGCUCCUACAAAGAGAAAAUUUAGAAUUUUAACCCAGAGCACAUAGUUGCAAUGAUUAAGCAAACUGGAACACUCUCAAAUGCUUAGUAAGCUCUACUUUCAAGAACCAUAUACAAAAUCAAUGAAUAGAAGGCUGAGUGAACUAAACAGAAUUUGGUUAAAGCUGUCACACUACAAUUAGAAAAGCAUAUCCGUAGCAGGUGAACCUCAAAAUUUAUAUACAGCCAACCUGACCGCACAAACGCACCGGUUCAUGGAAUAUGUACCAAGACCUAAUCAAGCAAGCCAAUAGGAAACCUAACCUUGUUGGUAAACAGCACACACAUCCAACAAAAUCAACAAAGAACCUGCACACGAAAAGGAACAUGAAACAAAAAAAUGUCUCAGCCCACACACAUUUUAUCAAACAGGAUUCAGGAGACAAGCAGAAAAGAUCUUAGCUCCGAGUGCAAAUAACCAACUGAUGUGAUCGCAUACCCGAGCAGCAAGCCACCAACGAAACAAACAAGCCUGUAAAUCCAUCAGAUUGCUGAAGAGGUAAUGUUCAUUCACAAAUAACCUAAUUUUGCUUUGGUAGGGCAGCAGGCAAG
RNAcentral lists this long non-coding RNA (693 nucleotides) under Triticum aestivum (bread wheat). RNAcentral describes it as "long non-coding RNA (TAES_LNC016563)". The record is from RNAcentral. Lineage: Eukaryota; Viridiplantae; Streptophyta; Magnoliopsida; Poales; Poaceae.